CACACAGGCAGACGAGCAGUGCGGGCUCAGUGUGUGUCAGACGCCCGAAGCAGGCUGUGUGCUGCACGCUUCCUCCGCGCUCUCAUCCUGCCGCGACCCACAUCGCUCGACACUUCUCCCGGGGCGCGUGCUUGGGCUUGUUAUCAUAAACUGAAUACAUAUAAGGUCGUUUGUGCGGCCUUUGAGACAGGGUCUGGGCGCCAGGAGUCGAUCUGGGAUUAGUGUGGUGUUUGAAUUCUCGAAGCCUUGGUUUGGGACGUGUAAUUAAGAUACCGAUCAGUGAUUUGGCUGCAGAUGAACCAGUACUCACUGUGAAGUGCACUAAAUUGUCCCUGACAUAUAAUUGGUGCAGUGAUUUGAAGUGUAAUUUCCAAGAUAGAAAAUAGCCAUAACACAUCGUUAAGAUUGCUCGCCUGACUGCCGCUGGAACACAGUAGUCAUUAUUUUUUAUUUAAGGGGCUGCCAUAACUUCCAUCAGCAGCCAUGGGUUGUGCAAUGAGCAAUCCUGCUGACAAGGAAGCAGCAGAAAGAAGCAAGAAAAUAGACAAAGAUUUACGACUGGCUGGUGAACGUGCAGCAAAAGAGGUUAAACUUCUACUUUUAGGUGAGUGUUAUGUGCUUUGAUUUA
Long non-coding RNA from Penaeus indicus, 628 nucleotides. RefSeq lists it as uncharacterized. NCBI's taxonomy places the organism in Eukaryota, Metazoa, Arthropoda, Malacostraca, Decapoda, Penaeidae. The transcript is spliced from 3 exons. The record is from RefSeq and is a predicted model, not a curated record.